Molecule: ribosomal RNA, 447 nt
Filed under: uncultured bacterium
Lineage: Bacteria
Description: partial 16S ribosomal RNA
Rfam family: Bacterial small subunit ribosomal RNA
Source: RNAcentral
AGCGAACGCUGGCGGCAGGCUUAACACAUGCAAGUCGAGCGCCCCGCAAGGGGAGCAGCAGACGGGUGAGUAACACGUGGGAACGUGCCUUUUGGUUCGGAACAACCCAGGGAAACUUGGGCUAAUACCGGAUAAGCCCUUACGGGGAAAGAUUUAUCGCCAAAAGAUCGGCCCGCGUCUGAUUAGCUAGUUGGUGGGGUAAUGGCCCACCAAGGCUACGAUCAGUAGCUGGUCUGAGAGGAUGAUCAGCCACAUUGGGACUGAGACACGGCCCAAACUCCUACGGGAGGCAGCAGUGGGGAAUAUUGGACAAUGGGGGCAACCCUGACGCAGCAAUACCGCGUGUGGGAUGAAGGCCUUCGGGUCGUAAACCACUUUUUUCGGGGACGAUAAUGACGGUACCCGAAGAAUAAGCCACGGCUAACUACGUGCCAGCCGCCGCAGUAA